Cavia porcellus (domestic guinea pig) is the source of this 1010-nucleotide RNA transcript. It is a transcript of the gene named COPI coat complex subunit zeta 2, with no coding region annotated. The transcript has 10 exons. Lineage: Eukaryota; Metazoa; Chordata; Mammalia; Rodentia; Caviidae. The record is from RefSeq and is a predicted model, not a curated record.
GCGAGCCUGGGCGGUGCUGUCAGCCUGGCAGCCCGCGGAAUGCAACGACCAGAGGCCUGGCCACGUCCGCAUCCCGGGGAGGGGGCCGCAGGGACCCACAUCGGGGUCCCAGCGCCGCCCUCCCGAGUUGAGGAGCUCUCGGGGCUGCGGUUGCAGGAACCCUCCCUUUACACCAUCAAGGCUGUGUUCAUCUUAGAUAAUGACGGACGCCGGCUGCUGGCCAAGUAUUAUGAUGACACCUUCUCCUCCCCCAAGGAGCAGAUGAUCUUUGAGAAAAAUGUCUUCAACAAAACCAGCCAGACCGAGAGUGAGAUCGCAUUUUUGGGGGGCAUGACCAUCGUCUACAAGAGCAGCGUGGACCUUUUCCUCUACGUGGUGGGCUCCUCUCAGGAGAACGAGCUGAUGCUUGCGUCUGUCCUCUCCUGCCUCUUUGAGUCCCUGAGUCACAUCCUAAGAAGGAACGUGGAGAAGCGCUGGCUGCUGGAGAACCUGGACGGGGCCUUCCUGGUGCUGGACGAGAUCGUGGACGGCGGUGUGAUCCUGGAGAGUGACCCCCAGCAAGUUGUCCAGAAAGUGAAUUUUAGGACAGAGGACAGCGGCCUGGCGGAGCAGAGUGUGGCCCAGCCUGCAAGAGUCUCUGCUCAGACUAACCCUGCUUCUCUGGAGCUCCAUGCCAGGCACUGACUCCUCCUCCUCCUGUGGUGGCUCUGCCAAGAUCCCCAGCCAGCUGGUGGGCACCCACUUUCCACACUAACCUCGGCUUCCGCGUGUAUCCUUGUGCCCUGCAAGAGGCAAAACCGCUGCAUGGUCAUUUUCAAGGUUCUGCAGUCCGCCAAGGAACAAAUUAAAUGGUCGUUACUGAAGUGAAGGCAAUGCUGGCCCAAGUCCAAAGGCCCCAAGCGCUCCGUGCGCUGUCCCCCUUCCCAGAGCUCUGGCCCACCCCGGGGGACCUGAGGGACCACUGAGCUGCCUUUCCUGGCCCCCAAUAAACCUGCUUUGUCUCCCGCCAA